RNAcentral lists this ribosomal RNA (254 nucleotides) under uncultured bacterium. RNAcentral describes it as "partial 16S ribosomal RNA". It matches the Rfam family "Bacterial small subunit ribosomal RNA", at positions 526 to 779 of the family's 1533-position model. The record is from RNAcentral.
CGUAGGUGGCAAGCGUUGUCCGGAUUUAUUGGGCGUAAAGCGAGCGCAGGCGGUUUCUUAAGUCUGAUGUGAAAGCCUUCGGCUCAACCGAAGAAGUGCAUCGGAAACUGGGAAACUUGAGUGCAGAAGAGGACAGUGGAACUCCAUGUGUAGCGGUGAAAUGCGUAGAUAUAUGGAAGAACACCAGUGGCGAAGGCGGCUGUCUGGUCUGUAACUGACGCUGAGGCUCGAAAGCAUGGGUAGCAAACAGGAUU